CAGCUGCUUACUAUAUAUUGAGGACUAAUCUGAUUAAGACCUAGUCAUGCUGAUCAGGGUGAAAUUCAAUGGUGAACAAAAAUAUGUCAAGAUCAUUGACCUGAUACUUGGAGAUCCCACUUACUAGUUUAUCAGAGGCAAAGCUAUAUGAUGGGUCCAGAACUGAAGUUGAUGGGGAUGUUUGAGGAGGUGGUGAAAUGGCCAGAUCUUGGUGUUCUCAAGCUCACACUGAACAAUGAUGCUAAAGGUAUGUCUUGGUUACUUGUGGCAUCACUUUCAAUAUAACCAUACACGUGACAUGCCUGUAUUGUCAUCUUUGUGCAUUUCAGAAUCUUCCCUGAUGAGACAUGUCUCUGCCAGUUCUGUGAUGGGUGGUUCAGACCAUUGCAUCGGAAUCCUACCGCAAGCUCUGAACCUUUUCACCAGAUCAUCGCAGCUAGCUAGCUGUAAUCCGAGUGGCUACUCCCGGCUAAUGUCCCGGUCCCAAAGCAAGCACCAGGUAGCCUGGAACUAGGCCCAUCUCCCGGCUAGCCAAAGAGGUACACCAGCCAAUUCUUGGGCUACAAUACCUCUUUUGCCAAUUGGCCUGGACCAUUUACUGCCGACCCGGAGCCCCUCCGAUCCAUCACGACUGGUCUGCCAACGUAACCGUCUGAGGGGGUUUCAACAGGCUCUUCCAUUGCGAUGUCGCCGGAGGCCCAUCUGCUUGCCUCGGUCCGUUAGCUGUCUGAAUCGCUGUGUCUCCAGCUCGCCUAGUGUAUUAGCGACUACUCAAUCAGGUCUAUUGCUACUCAUUGGACCCUAUGAUCACUCGGCUACACAUGCUGCUCCACAAUGUCAAUAUGCCUUGUCUAUUGCUUCUCUGGUUAGUUUUUUCUUAUUUCACUGUAGAGCCCCCAGCCCUGCCCAAUAUGCCUUAGAUAGGCCUUUUGUUCCACCCUCCACACAUGCGGUGACAUCACCUGGCUUAACUGGUGCCUCUAGAGACAUAACCCCUCUCAUCAUCAAUCAAUGCCUAGGUUUACCUCCACUUUACUCACAUUCUACCAUACCCUUGUCUAUACAUUAUGCCUUGAAUCUAUUCUUCCACGCCCAGAAAUC
Oncorhynchus kisutch (coho salmon) is the source of this 1101-nucleotide long non-coding RNA. RefSeq lists it as uncharacterized. The transcript has 3 exons. Lineage: Eukaryota; Metazoa; Chordata; Actinopteri; Salmoniformes; Salmonidae. The record is from RefSeq and is a predicted model, not a curated record.